RNAcentral lists this long non-coding RNA (558 nucleotides) under Olea europaea subsp. europaea. The record is from RNAcentral. Lineage: Eukaryota; Viridiplantae; Streptophyta; Magnoliopsida; Lamiales; Oleaceae.
CUCAGCUUUUGAUGUUCUCUCUUCAAUUCGUAGAGUACCGUUGGUCGGAAGAAAAUGACACCGUACUAUGUUGUCUGAAUUCAAUAUUCAUAAGUCUAGAUUUGGUCAAACACCAAUUGAAAAAUACGAAAACGAGAAAAGAAAUUUGCAUUUAAAAUUUGGACUCCCAAGACAUCCCCUCCUUUCUUUAUACUCUCUCUCAAAUUUUCGCAACGUGUUGUAUCAGUUUACAUACACAUACAGCGGUGCAAACAGAUGAUAAGGCUUGACUCUGAUAAUAGGUAAAUCCCGAUACUUGAGAAAAAAUGCAUAUCAAUUUUUGUAAUUUCAUCUUAAACCCUUUUUACUAUUUCUACUAAUUGGAUUUUGGGCUUUUGUAGAUUUCGGGUGUUUCUGGAUUUCACUUUUGAAGAGGUCGGAUUGUGUUUAUUCGACCAAUAACUUUCUUUAUUAUUUAAAGGUAAGCCAAUCUAGGUAAAGUUACCUCUUUUUCGAUGUUUGAAUUUGAUAUUUAUGUACAUUUCCUUUUUGGGUUCUAUACUUGUGUGUAUAUUUAUU